Molecule: ribosomal RNA, 300 nt
Filed under: uncultured bacterium
Lineage: Bacteria
Description: bacterial SSU rRNA
Rfam family: Bacterial small subunit ribosomal RNA
Source: RNAcentral
AAGUCCUAUAACGAGCGCAACCCUUACCCUUAUUUGCCAGCGGUUAGGCCGGGAACUAUAAGGGAACUGCCGGUAAUAAGCCGGAGGAAGGUGGGGACGACGUCAAGUCAUCAUGGCCCUUACGUGUAGGGCUACACACGUGCUACAAUGGGAGAUACAGACGGUUGCUAAAGCGCGAGCUGGAGCCAAUCCGACAAAGUCUCUCGUAGUCCGAAUUGCAGUCUGGAACUCGACUGCAUGAAGCCGGAAUCGCUAGUAAUCGCGGAUCAGCAUGCCGCGGUGAAUACGUUCUCGGGUCUU